UACGUAGGGCGCAAGCGUUGUCCGGAAUUAUUGGGCGUAAAGAGCUCGUAGGCGGCCUGUUGCGUCCGCUGUGAAAUCCCGGGGCUUAACCCCGGGCCUGCAGUGGAUACGGGCAGGCUGGAGGCAGGCAGGGGAGAACGGAAUUCCCGGUGUAGCGGUGAAAUGCGCAGAUAUCAGGAGGAACACCAAUGGCGAAGGCAGCUCGCUGGGACGGUACUGACGCUGAGACGCGAAAGCGUGGGGAGCAAACAGG
Molecule: ribosomal RNA, 253 nt
Filed under: uncultured bacterium
Lineage: Bacteria
Description: partial 16S ribosomal RNA
Rfam family: Bacterial small subunit ribosomal RNA
Source: RNAcentral